GCAUAGCUCAGCUGGUUGAAGCAUGGUGCUGAUAACGCCAAGGCUGCAGGUUCAGUCCCCAUAAGGAACA
Non-coding RNA from Podarcis lilfordi (Lilford's wall lizard), 70 nucleotides. Lineage: Eukaryota; Metazoa; Chordata; Lepidosauria; Squamata; Lacertidae. The record is from the annotation of a GenBank genome assembly.